CUCCUUUUAUCAUCUUAAACCAUCCCCUUAAGUUGAGUAUGCUCGUCGACUUAGGUUACUGUAUAACCAGGGACAAAGACAGUUUUAGGACAUUUUCAAUGUUAGUUUAGACUAAAUUCAAAGAUGUGUUGAAAUACAUUAGGGCGUCAAGUUAUUCAUCACUCUGUGUGCUGUGCCUCACCAAUUUGGUCCGUUCACUCAUAGAGAACAACAACAUUUGCUGACACAAAUGGGAAACAAACCAUCAAGCAACAACUACUACAAUAGCACCAACAACAGUAGCAACAACAACUACUCCUACAACCACAUACAUACCAACAACUACAUUAAUUGACCAAAGGUCUGUACCAGUGGAGCAGAUCAUUAUUGGCCUGGCCACCUGUAUUUGUGUUCUCCUUAUGGUGGCUGCAUCAGGUCUGCUUGUUUAUACCCUCUGCAGAAAGACAGCUUUGGCAUGUGGGCCAAAAGCAAAAGAGUUGGAUGAUGAAACAAAAACCACAGACAAACCACAGGUUGUUGUUAUUGAAAAUGAGCACACAUAUGCAAACGAUGGUAAAUCCAAGGCACAGAUGAUUGAUGACCACUUUACUAGUGACCUGACCAUCCUAAGGGCUAACGCCAAACCAUCACCAACCACAGAGAUGACUGAAUAUGCCAGUGUUAGAAUCCACAAUUCUGAUGUUUUAAAUGUAUAACAAUGCACAAACAUGCAUAUCUUCAAGUAUAAUGCUCUAAAGUCACAGGAGUGGGAGGCAGCUCAGCAUUGGAAUCUUUACAUUUAUUUUGAAUGAUUUUGAUGGGGUUACUAAACAUGUGUUUUUGAUUGCAAUGUUUAUUCAAUGCAAUUAUGUUUUGUAUCAUAUAUGUUUAAUUUAUUGUUAUCUAUAAUUUUGUAUAUUUUUUUAAUCAUGAUAUUAAAGUAGCAUAUAAAUAAACUGCCUUACACAUA
Molecule: long non-coding RNA, 949 nt
Organism: Salvelinus namaycush (lake trout)
Lineage: Eukaryota; Metazoa; Chordata; Actinopteri; Salmoniformes; Salmonidae
Exons: 5
Source: RefSeq, a predicted model, not a curated record